CCUUCCACCCUCGUGAUCGUCUUCUCACCUUUCCCGGGGGCGGAGGACGGCGGGGCCCCUGUGUGGACGUGACACGCAGGGGCCCCGC
RNAcentral lists this non-coding RNA (88 nucleotides) under Streptomyces qinglanensis. Its description in RNAcentral is "Streptomyces sp. 172205 sodF sRNA". It matches the Rfam family "sodF sRNA". Rfam says of the family: Identified in Streptomyces coelicolor. Lineage: Bacteria; Bacillati; Actinomycetota; Actinomycetes; Kitasatosporales; Streptomycetaceae. The record is from Rfam by way of RNAcentral.